RNAcentral lists this ribosomal RNA (253 nucleotides) under uncultured bacterium. RNAcentral describes it as "partial 16S ribosomal RNA". It matches the Rfam family "Bacterial small subunit ribosomal RNA", at positions 524 to 776 of the family's 1533-position model. The record is from RNAcentral.
UACGUAGGGUGCAAGCGUUGUCCGGAAUUAUUGGGCGUAAAGAGCUUGUAGGCGGUUUGUCGCGUCUGCUGUGAAAUUUCGGGGCUCAACCCCGAACUUGCAGUGGGUACGGGCAGACUAGAGUGUGGUAGGGGAGACUGGAAUUCCAGGUGUAGCGGUGAAAUGCGUAGAUAUCUGGAGGAACACCGGUGGCGAAGGCGGCAUUCUGGACCGAUAUUGACGCUGAGGAGCGAAAGCCAGGGGAGCAAACGGG